This 255-nucleotide ribosomal RNA is filed under the name uncultured bacterium. Its description in RNAcentral is "partial 16S ribosomal RNA". It matches the Rfam family "Bacterial small subunit ribosomal RNA", at positions 524 to 776 of the family's 1533-position model. The record is from RNAcentral.
UACGUAGGGUGCAAGCGUUGUCCGGAAUUAUUGGGCGUAAAGAGCUCGUAGGCGGUCUGUCACGUCGGCUGUGAAAUCCCGAGGCUCAACCUCGGGUCUGCAGUCGAUACGGGCAAACUAGAGUAUUGCAGGGGAGACUGGAAUUCCUGGUGUAGCGGUGAAAUGCGCAGAUAUCAGGAGGAACACCGGUGGCGAAGGCGGGUCUCUGGGCCGAUAACUGACGCUGGAGGAGCGAAAGCGUGGGGAGCGAACAGG